UUUGGGACAAAUAAGUUAAAAAUUAUGUUAAGAAUAUACACCCAUAAAUAAAUCCGCAACUAUAUGACGAUGUAUAGUAUUAUUAUCAAUUGAUAAUAACAGGGAAAUUAUAAUUAUUCAGUUUUUGAAUAAACAGAUAAUAUUAUCAAAUAAUGCCAGUUACUACAUAAAUCGUUAAUAAACUGAUAGGUCGAGGCGUAAGUACAAAAUGUAACCUAGAUUGAAAAAAGCCAUAUAAUGACAAUUGCAAUUAACGCCUUAAAAUUUCCUCAAUUGAGUUUCGCUUAAAGCUUAUGCAAAUUUUAAAUUCGCUUAAAGGAGAAUGACCCGUCAGCAUACUAGGCUACAACUUGCAACAAAAUAGAUCGGAUCCCGCUAAUAGUCAUUUGGAAAUCUAAAGGCAAGGAAUAUGAGAAGACGUCAAUAAGUUUCCCCCGGUACACUCGUAAAAGGACAAGAGUAACGUCAACGUCGAGCUGCUAAUAUCACAGGAAACACGAUGUUGUACCAUUAGACUAGAUUAGUAAGGUUCAUUAUACAUAAUUUUUGAUUGUGCACAUAUUGGCAAUGAAUCUGUUAAAAUUUCGAAGAAAAAUUUGAAGAGUAGGCACAUUUAUUUCCUCGGUAUAUCCACGGAUCCACGGAUGUUGUUGUUAACCUAGCUGUGUAGCUUUUAUCAAAGUUACCAGCAGAAGAAGCGCCAAAGCAUUUUUAUUAAUGAAUAUGACCCAAUACAGGACAUGUCUAUACCGCACCAGGUGGUGAAGAUUGCAAAAAAAGUUGGACCAGGCGUAGGUGCCUUCAGGAAGUAUUCGCCAAUAAGACUAAAAAGGGGUGAAAGUCAUGGACACUUGUGAAAGUGACAAACCAGUAGACGGAGAUCAAGCUCGAAAGAACUAGAGGACAAAAAAAUUGCGUUUUUUUAUUUCAGUGGCAUUGUAACUACUUAUCAUAAAAUA
Long non-coding RNA from Bactrocera tryoni, 959 nucleotides. RefSeq lists it as uncharacterized. NCBI's taxonomy places the organism in Eukaryota, Metazoa, Arthropoda, Insecta, Diptera, Tephritidae. The record is from RefSeq and is a predicted model, not a curated record. The transcript has 3 exons.